RNAcentral lists this ribosomal RNA (482 nucleotides) under uncultured bacterium. Its description in RNAcentral is "partial 16S ribosomal RNA". It matches the Rfam family "Bacterial small subunit ribosomal RNA", at positions 28 to 507 of the family's 1533-position model. The record is from RNAcentral.
GAUGAACGCUGGCGGCGUGCCUAACACAUGCAAGUCGAACGGAGUCGUUUUGGAAAUCUCUUCGGAGAUGGAAUUCUCGACUUAGUGGCGGACGGGUGAGUAACGCGUGAGCAAUCUGCCUUUAAGAGGGGGAUAACAGUCGGAAACGGCUGCUAAUACCGCAUAAAGCAUUAAAUUCGCAUGUUUUUGAUGCCAAAGGAGCAAUCCGCUUUUAGAUGAGCUCGCGUCUGAUUAGCUAGUUGGCGGGGUAACGGCCCACCAAGGCGACGAUCAGUAGCCGGAUUAGGAGGUUGACCGGCCACUUUGGACUGAGACACGGCCCAGACUCCUACGGGAGGCAGCAGUGGGGAAUAUUGCGCAAUGGGGGAAACCCUGACGCAGCAUCGCCGCGUGAUUGAAGAAGGCCUUCGGGUUGUAAAGAUCUUUAAUCAGGGACGAAACAAAUGACGGUACCUGAAGAAUAAGCUCCGGCUAACUACGUG